UACGGAGGAUGAGAGCGUUAUCCGGAUUUAUUGGGUUUACAGGGUGCGCAGGCGGCCUGUUAAGUCAGCGGUAAAAGCCCGGGGCUCAACCCCGGCGAGCCGUUGAAACUGGCGGCCUCGAGUGGGCGAGAAGUAUGCGGAAUGCGUGGUGUAGCGGUGAAAUGCAUAGAUAUCACGCAGAACUCCGAUUGCGAAGGCAGCAUACCGGCGCCCAACUGACGCUCAGGCACGAAAGCAUGGGUAGCGAACAGG
RNAcentral lists this ribosomal RNA (252 nucleotides) under uncultured Bacteroidales bacterium. RNAcentral's name for it is "partial 16S ribosomal RNA". It matches the Rfam family "Bacterial small subunit ribosomal RNA", at positions 524 to 776 of the family's 1533-position model. The record is from RNAcentral. Lineage: Bacteria; Pseudomonadati; Bacteroidota; Bacteroidia; Bacteroidales.